GAACGCUGGCGGCGUGCCUAAUACAUGCAAGUCGAACGCACAGCGAAAGGUGCUUGCACCUUUCAAGUGAGUGGCGAACGGGUGAGUAACACGUGGACAACCUGCCUCAAGGCUGGGGAUAACAUUUGGAAACAGAUGCUAAUACCGAAUAAAACUUAGUGUCGCAUGACACAAAGUUAAAAGGCGCUUCGGCGUCACCUAGAGAUGGAUCCGCGGUGCAUUAGUUAGUUGGUGGGGUAAAGGCCUACCAAGACAAUGAUGCAUAGCCGAGUUGAGAGACUGAUCGGCCACAUUGGGACUGAGACACGGCCCAAACUCCUACGGGAGGCUGCAGUAGGGAAUCUUCCACAAUGGGCGAAAGCCUGAUGGAGCAACGCCGCGUGUGUGAUGAAGGCUUUCGGGUCGUAAAGCACUGUUGUAUGGGAAGAACAGCUAGAAUAGGAAAUGAUUUUAGUUUGACGGUACCAUACCAGAAAGGGACGGCUAAAUACGUGCCAGCAGCCGCGGUAAUACGUAUGUCCCGAGCGUUAUCCGGAUUUAUUGGGCGUAAAGCGAGCGCAGACGGUUUAUUAAGUCUGAUGUGAAAGCCCGGAGCUCAACUCCGGAAUGGCAUUGGAAACUGGUUAACUUGAGUGCAGUAGAGGUAAGUGGAACUCCAUGUGUAGCGGUGGAAUGCGUAGAUAUAUGGAAGAACACCAGUGGCGAAGGCGGCUUACUGGACUGCAACUGACGUUGAGGCUCGAAAGUGUGGGUAGCAAACAGGAUUAGAUACCCUGGUAGUCCACACCGUAAACGAUGAACACUAGGUGUUAGGAGGUUUCCGCCUCUUAGUGCCGAAGCUAACGCAUUAAGUGUUCCGCCUGGGGAGUACGACCGCAAGGUUGAAACUCAAAGGAAUUGACGGGGACCCGCACAAGCGGUGGAGCAUGUGGUUUAAUUCGAAGCAACGCGAAGAACCUUACCAGGUCUUGACAUCCUUUGAAGCUUUUAGAGAUAGAAGUGUUCUCUUCGGAGACAAAGUGACAGGUGGUGCAUGGUCGUCGUCAGCUCGUGUCGUGAGAUGUUGGGUUAAGUCCCGCAACGAGCGCAACCCUUAUUGUUAGUUGCCAGCAUUCAGAUGGGCACUCUAGCGAGACUGCCGGUGACAAACCGGAGGAAGGCGGGGACGACGUCAGAUCAUCAUGCCCCUUAUGACCUGGGCUACACACGUGCUACAAUGGCGUAUACAACGAGUUGCCAACCCGCGAGGGUGAGCUAAUCUCUUAAAGUACGUCUCAGUUCGGAUUGUAGUCUGCAACUCGACUACAUGAAGUCGGAAUCGCUAGUAAUCGCGGAUCAGCACGCCGCGGUGAAUACGUUCCCGGGUCUUGUACACACCGCCCGUCACACCAUGGGAGUUUGUAAUGCCCAAAGCCGGUGGCCUAACCUUUUAGGAAGGAGCCGUCUAAGGCAGGACAGAUGACUGGG
Molecule: ribosomal RNA, 1467 nt
Filed under: Leuconostoc mesenteroides subsp. mesenteroides
Lineage: Bacteria; Bacillati; Bacillota; Bacilli; Lactobacillales; Lactobacillaceae
Description: bacterial SSU rRNA
Rfam family: Bacterial small subunit ribosomal RNA
Source: RNAcentral